RNAcentral lists this ribosomal RNA (497 nucleotides) under uncultured bacterium. RNAcentral describes it as "partial 16S ribosomal RNA". It matches the Rfam family "Bacterial small subunit ribosomal RNA", at positions 28 to 507 of the family's 1533-position model. The record is from RNAcentral.
GACGAACGCUGGCGGCGUGCCUAAUACAUGCAAGUAGAACGCUGAAGAGAGGAGCUUGCUCUUCUUGGAUGAGUUGCGAACGGGUGAGUAACGCGUAGGUAACCUGCCUGGUAGCGGGGGAUAACUAUUGGAAACGAUAGCUAAUACCGCAUAAAAUGGAUUAUCGCAUGAUAAUCCAUUGAAAGGUGCAAAUGCAUCACUGCCAGAUGGACCUGCGUUGUAUUAGCUAGUUGGUGGGGUAACGGCUCACCAAGGCGACGAUACAUAGCCGACCUGAGAGGGUGAUCGGCCACACUGGGACUGAGACACGGCCCAGACUCCUACGGGAGGCAGCAGUAGGGAAUCUUCGGCAAUGGACGGAAGUCUGACCGAGCAACGCCGCGUGAGUGAAGAAGGUUUUCGGAUCGUAAAGCUCUGUUGUAAGAGAAGAACGAGUGUGAGAGUGGAAAGUUCACACUGUGACGGUAUCUUACCAGAAAGGGACGGCUAACUACGUG